RNAcentral lists this ribosomal RNA (252 nucleotides) under uncultured bacterium. RNAcentral's name for it is "partial 16S ribosomal RNA". It matches the Rfam family "Bacterial small subunit ribosomal RNA", at positions 525 to 776 of the family's 1533-position model. The record is from RNAcentral.
ACGUAGGGUGCGAGCGUUAAUCGGAAUUACUGGGCGUAAAGCGUGCGCAGGCGGUUUGCUAAGACAGGUGUGAAAUCCCCGGGCUUAACCUGGGAAUGGCGCUUGUGACUGGCAGGCUUGAGUACGGCAGAGGGGGGUGGAAUUCCACGUGUAGCAGUGAAAUGCGUAGAGAUGUGGAGGAACACCGAUGGCGAAGGCAGCCCCCUGGGUCGAUACUGACGCUCAUGCACGAAAGCGUGGGGAGCAAACAGG